Molecule: non-coding RNA, 88 nt
Organism: Chelonoidis abingdonii (Abingdon island giant tortoise)
Lineage: Eukaryota; Metazoa; Chordata; Testudines; Testudinidae
Source: RefSeq, a predicted model, not a curated record
AAUCAGCAUUCUCCAUCUGUAGAUCUCAGAGCGCUUUACAAAGGAAUGCAGUAUCGUUAUCCCCAUUUUACAGAUGGGCAAACUGAGG